Molecule: non-coding RNA, 684 nt
Organism: Oryzias latipes (Japanese medaka)
Lineage: Eukaryota; Metazoa; Chordata; Actinopteri; Beloniformes; Adrianichthyidae
Source: RefSeq, a predicted model, not a curated record
AUAAAAACAGAGAAAUGUGUCAAAGUUUAAAAAAAUUAAAUUGAAAACAAACAAAAAAAUAUCAAACUUUUACGGGAAUUUAAUCGUAGAAAGAGAAAGUAAAAAUUGUAUUUGAUUAAAAUUGUAGAGAAAAUUUUUAAAAUUUUGAAUUAUGAAAGAAAUAUUCAACAAUUUUACAAAAACAAAUUUAUAAGAAAAAAUGAUGAAUUAAAUUACAACAGCAUCGCUUCUCUCCUUAAGAGUUUUAUGACUUUAUACUGAAAUAUGAUUUUUUUUCUUUGAUGGAGGCUCUAAGACUCUGCCAAACAUUUUGGCGUCUAAAUUCUAUGUUUUUUUUCUUUUCUUUUUAACUUAACUUUCCUUUUCUUUCUGCUUGUUUCUGUUAGUCAAACCAAACAGCUCUGGCUCCGCCUCUCAUUGAUGCCGUGUGGCACUAAUGUCAUUUCCACAAUAAGAGGAUAUGGCAGAGAAACAGGAAGGACGUUAUGGGCAGGUUGCUCUCCUGGCAGGCCUGCCCCGGGUGCCAGUUGGCCUUGCACGCCGAGCAGAACUCUAGAGUGCAGACGGAGCAUCGGACCAACUGCGGCAGGGCUGGAGACUCCGCCUCCUUUACCUGGCAGACGGCCUGACAGGAGGAAGACGGGCACCACGUCCGGCACGGGUCCAGAAGAACCUCUGACGGCA